UACGUAGGUCCCGAGCGUUGUCCGGAUUUAUUGGGCGUAAAGCGAGCGCAGGUGGUUUAUUAAGUCUGGUGUAAAAGGCGGUGGCUCAACCAUUGUAUGCAUUGGAAACUGGUAGACUUGAGUGCAGGAGAGGAGAGUGGAAUUCCAUGUGUAGCGGUGAAAUGCGUAGAUAUAUGGAGGAACACCGGUAGCGAAAGCGGCUCUCUGGCCUGUAACUGACACUGAGGCUCGAAAGCGUGGGGAGCAAACAGG
RNAcentral lists this ribosomal RNA (252 nucleotides) under uncultured bacterium. RNAcentral describes it as "partial 16S ribosomal RNA". It matches the Rfam family "Bacterial small subunit ribosomal RNA", at positions 524 to 776 of the family's 1533-position model. The record is from RNAcentral.